Molecule: ribosomal RNA, 819 nt
Filed under: uncultured Tissierella sp.
Lineage: Bacteria; Bacillati; Bacillota; Tissierellia; Tissierellales; Tissierellaceae
Description: bacterial SSU rRNA
Rfam family: Bacterial small subunit ribosomal RNA
Source: RNAcentral
UGCAAGUCGAGCGAAGUUUUCAAAGUGGAUUUCUUCGGAAUGAAACUUUGAUUAUCUUAGCGGCGGACGGGUGAGUAACGCGUGAGAAACCUGCCUUUCACAAAGGGAUAGCCUCGGGAAACUGGGAUUAAUACCUUAUGACACUAAUUUUUCGCAUGGAAGAUUAGUUAAAGCGCAAAGCGGUGAAAGAUGGUCUCGCGUCCCAUUAGUUAGUUGGUGAGGUAAUGGCUCACCAAGACCGCGAUGGGUAGCCGGCCUGAGAGGGUGAACGGCCACACUGGAACUGAGACACGGUCCAGACUCCUACGGGAGGCAGCAGUGGGGAAUAUUGCACAAUGGAGGAAACUCUGAUGCAGCGACGCCGCGUGAACGAUGAAGGCCUUCGGGUCGUAAAGUUCUGUCCUAGGGGACGAUAAUGACGGUACCCUAGGAGGAAGCCCCGGCUAACUACGUGCCAGCAGCCGCGGUAAUACGUAGGGGGCAAGCGUUGUCCGGAUUUAUUGGGCGUAAAGGGUGCGUAGGCGGCCUUUUAAGUCAGAUGUGAAAGGUCACGGCUCAACCGUGGUAAGCAUUUGAAACUGGAAGGCUUGAGUUAAGGAGAGGAAAGUGGAAUUCCUAGUGUAGCGGUGAAAUGCGUAGAUAUUAGGAGGAAUACCAGUGGCGAAGGCGACUUUCUGGACUUAUACUGACGCUGAGGCACGAAAGCGUGGGGAGCGAACAGGAUUAGAUACCCUGGUAGUCCACGCCGUAAACGAUGAGUGCUAGGUGUUGGGGGUCAAACCUCGGUGCCGCAGCUAACGCAUUAAGCACUCCGCCUGG